UUAUCCUACGGGAGGCAGCAGUGGGGAAUAUUGCACAAUGGGGGAAACCCUGAUGCAGCGACGCCGCGUGAGUGAAGAAGUAAUUCGUUAUGUAAAGCUCUAUCAGCAGGGAAGAAAAUGACGGUACCUGAGUAAGAAGCCCCGGCUAACUACGUGCCAGCAACCGCGGUAAUACGUAGGGGGCAAGCGUUAUCCGGAUUUACUGGGUGUAAAGGGAGCGUAGACGGCGGUGCAAGCCAGAUGUGAAAGCCCGGGGCUCAACCCCGGGACUGCAUUUGGAACUGUGCUGCUAGAGUGUCGGAGAG
Molecule: ribosomal RNA, 305 nt
Filed under: uncultured bacterium
Lineage: Bacteria
Description: bacterial SSU rRNA
Rfam family: Bacterial small subunit ribosomal RNA
Source: RNAcentral